Molecule: ribosomal RNA, 524 nt
Filed under: uncultured bacterium
Lineage: Bacteria
Description: bacterial SSU rRNA
Rfam family: Bacterial small subunit ribosomal RNA
Source: RNAcentral
CUAAGAAUAUUCCGCAAUGGACGGAAGUCUGACGGAGCGACGCCGCGUGGAUGAAGGAGGCCGAAAGGUUGUAAAAUCCUUUUGCGGACGAAGAAUAAGCGAUGGAGGGAAUGCCAUUGUGAUGACGCUAGUCCGUGAAUAAGCCCCGGCUAAUUACGUGCCAGCAGCCGCGGUAACACGUAAGGGGCGAGCGUUGUUCGGAAUUAUUGGGCGUAAAGGGCACGUAGGCGGUUAGAUAAGUCUGGCGUGAAAGGCAGGAGCUUAACUUCUGGAUUGCGUUAGAAACUGGAUAACUAGAGUCAUGGAGGGGGAGUUGGAAUUCCUGGUGUAGGGGUGAAAUCUGUAGAUAUCAGGAAGAACACCGGUGGCGGAGGCGAACUUCCAGCCGAUGACUGACGCUGAGGUGCGAAAGUGCGGGGAGCAAACAGGAUUAGAUACCCUGGUAGUCCGCACUAUAAACGAUGUGCACUAGGUGUUGGGCCGAGCGGCUCAGUGCCGAAGCGAACGUGGUAAGUGCACCGCCU